AUUGAACGCUGGCGGCAGGCCUAACACAUGCAAGUCGAACGAGUGGCGGACGGGUGAGUAAUGUCUGGGAAACUGCCUGAUGGAGGGGGAUAACUACUGGAAACGGUAGCUAAUACCGCAUACCAUCAGAUGUGCCCAGAUGGGAUUAGCUAGUUGGUGGGGUAAAGGCUCACCAAGGCGACGAUCCCUAGCUGGUCUGAGAGGAUGACCGGCCACACUGGAACUGAGACACGGUACAGACUCCGACGGGAGGAAGCAGGGGGGAAUAUUGGACAAGGGGCGAAAGCCUGAUGCAGCCAUGCCGCGUGUAUGAAGAAGGCUUUCGGGUUGUAAAGUACUUUCAGCGGGGAGGCGUUACCAGCAGAAGAAGCACCGGCUAACUCCGUGCCAGCAGCCGCGGUAAUUC
RNAcentral lists this ribosomal RNA (406 nucleotides) under uncultured bacterium. RNAcentral describes it as "partial 16S ribosomal RNA". It matches the Rfam family "Bacterial small subunit ribosomal RNA", at positions 30 to 526 of the family's 1533-position model. The record is from RNAcentral.